Carya illinoinensis is the source of this 654-nucleotide long non-coding RNA. RefSeq lists it as uncharacterized. The transcript is spliced from 2 exons. The record is from RefSeq and is a predicted model, not a curated record. NCBI's taxonomy places the organism in Eukaryota, Viridiplantae, Streptophyta, Magnoliopsida, Fagales, Juglandaceae.
GCUCUCACUGCUCAAUCCGAAAAACGGAAAAGGCCAGUAACCACUAGAAACGGGCAAGCCAGUUAGCCUGAGCCACGGUCCCCCGACCCAGUGGUGGCUUUUUUGUAGAUAAUGGUGGCACACGUGGGAGUCAUCUCUCUCGGCUCUUGCUUCCCUCCUCUCCCUCGUCUUCCUAGGCUCUAUUCCACCAAGCACAAGCCAUUUGCCGAGGCUGUAAUGAGUGAAGAUCCAGUGCGUGAAUGGAUUUUGUCAGAAGGAAAGGCAACCCAGAUAACAAAAAUCAGUCCCGUAGGCGGUGGCUGCAUCAGUCUUGCUAAUCGUUAUGAAAUGGAUGCAGGUUCUUUCUUUCUGAAAACAAACAGGUAGAGGGAACAGGUUCCGAACGCAGGGGUUCUCCACAUCGCACAGAUGCCCGUGGGCUAAUGGGUCGUGGGCUCAGAUGCUUAGGGCUGGACGUACGUGGGCUCGAGGCCCUUGGAGUGUAAAUCUUAAGUGGGCUCAAAGCCCGUGGCGGGGGAAUGAUCUUUCGAGGGCUCAGAGCCCGUGAAAAGAUCUGGGGAGUUUCGACGUCAUCUUUUUCUUUUUGUGAACUUGCUUUUUACUUUCUUUUUAAUUAUAUUUUCUGGAUGAUCUCUGUAAUUUGGUUUUUCAUCA